This 87-nucleotide transfer RNA is filed under the name Phycisphaerales bacterium. RNAcentral describes it as "tRNA-Leu". It matches the Rfam family "tRNA". Rfam says of the family: Transfer RNA (tRNA) molecules are approximately 80 nucleotides in length. Lineage: Bacteria; Pseudomonadati; Planctomycetota; Phycisphaerae; Phycisphaerales. The record is from RNAcentral.
GCCCAGGUGGCGGAAUUGGUAGACGCGCCACCUUGAGGUGGUGGUUCCCAUUAUACGGGAGUGGAGGUUCGAGUCCUCUUCUGGGCA